Molecule: transfer RNA, 64 nt
Filed under: Melyridae sp. GENSP01
Lineage: Eukaryota; Metazoa; Arthropoda; Insecta; Coleoptera; Melyridae
Description: tRNA-Pro
Source: RNAcentral
CAGAAAAUAGUUUAAAUAAAAUAUUAAUUUUGGAGAUUAAUGAUAGGAAUAUUCUUUUUUCUGA